GCAGUCGAACGAACUCUGGUAUUGAUUGGUGCUUGCAUCAUGAUUUACAUUUGAGUGAGUGGCGAACUGGUGAGUAACACGUGGGAAACCUGCCCAGAAGCGGGGGAUAACACCUGGAAACAGAUGCUAAUACCGCAUAACAACUUGGACCGCAUGGUCCGAGCUUGAAAGAUGGCUUCGGCUAUCACUUUUGGAUGGUCCCGCGGCGUAUUAGCUAGAUGGUGGGGUAACGGCUCACCAUGGCAAUGAUACGUAGCCGACCUGAGAGGGUAAUCGGCCACAUUGGGACUGAGACACGGCCCAAACUCCUACGGGAGGCAGCAGUAGGGAAUCUUCCACAAUGGACGAAAGUCUGAUGGAGCAACGCCGCGUGAGUGAAGAAGGGUUUCGGCUCGUAAAACUCUGUUGUUAAAGAAGAACAUAUCUGAGAGUAACUGUUCAGGUAUUGACGGUAUUUAACCAGAAAGCCACGGCUAACUACGUGCCAGCAGCCGCGGUAAUACGUAGGUGGCAAGCGUUGUCCGGAUUUAUUGGGCGUAAAGCGAGCGCAGGCGGUUUUUUAAGUCUGAUGUGAAAGCCUUCGGCUCAACCGAAGAAGUGCAUCGGAAACUGGGAAACUUGAGUGCAGAAGAGGACAGUGGAACUCCAUGUGUAGCGGUGAAAUGCGUAGAUAUAUGGAAGAACACCAGUGGCGAAGGCGGCUGUCUGGUCUGUAACUGACGCUGAGGCUCGAAAGUAUGGGUAGCAAACAGGAUUAGAUACCCUGGUAGUCCAUACCGUAAACGAUGAAUGCUAAGUGUUGGAGGGUUUCCGCCCUUCAGUGCUGCAGCUAACGCAUUAAGCAUUCCGCCUGGGGAGUACGGCCGCAAGGCUGAAACUCAAAGGAAUUGACGGGGGCCCGCACAAGCGGUGGAGCAUGUGGUUUAAUUCGAAGCUACGCGAAGAACCUUACCAGGUCUUGACAUACUAUGCAAAUCUAAGA
RNAcentral lists this ribosomal RNA (982 nucleotides) under Lactiplantibacillus plantarum. RNAcentral describes it as "bacterial SSU rRNA". It matches the Rfam family "Bacterial small subunit ribosomal RNA", at positions 57 to 1004 of the family's 1533-position model. The record is from RNAcentral. Lineage: Bacteria; Bacillati; Bacillota; Bacilli; Lactobacillales; Lactobacillaceae.